UGUUGGGUUAAGUCCCGCAACGAGCGCAACCCCUAUUGUUAGUUGCCAGCACAUUAUGGUGGGGACUCUAACAAGACUGCCUACGCAAGUAGAGAGGAAGGAGGGGACGACGUCAAGUCAUCAUGGCCCUUACGCCCAGGGCUACACACGUGCUACAAUGGCGUAUACAGAGGGUAGCGAGCGGGUGACCGUAAGCCAAUCUCGGAAAGUACGUCUCAGUUCGGAUCGGAGUCUGCAACUCGACUCCGUGAAGUUGGAAUCGCUAGUAAUCGCGGAUCAG
This 280-nucleotide ribosomal RNA is filed under the name Durinskia baltica. Its description in RNAcentral is "partial Bacterial small subunit ribosomal RNA". It matches the Rfam family "Bacterial small subunit ribosomal RNA", at positions 1073 to 1352 of the family's 1533-position model. Lineage: Eukaryota; Dinophyceae; Peridiniales; Kryptoperidiniaceae. The record is from RNAcentral.